UGAACGCUGGCGGCGUGCCUAACACAUGCAAGUCGAGCGGUAUAUGUUUAACAAAUACUUCGGAAGAGUGAGAGCGAUAGAGAGCGGCGGACGGGUGAGUAACGCGUAGGCAACCUGCCCCAUACAGAGGGAUAGCCUCGGGAAACCGGGAUUAAAACCUCAUAACGCGAAAGAGUCACAUGGCUCUUUCGCCAAAGAUUUAUCGGUAUGGGAUGGGCCUGCGUCUGAUUAGCUAGUUGGUGGGGUAACGGCUCACCAAGGCAACGAUCAGUAGCCGACCUGAGAGGGUAAUCGGCCACAUUGGGACUGAGACACGGCCCAAACUCCUACGGGAGGCAGCAGUAGGGAAUCUUCCGCAAUGGACGAAAGUCUGACGGAGCAACGCCGCGUGAGUGAAGAAAGGUUUUCGGAUCGUAAAACUCUGUUGUCAGAGAAGAACAAGUUGGAGAGUAACUGCUCCAGCCUUGGCGGUAUCUGACCAGAAAGCCACGGCUAACUACGUGCCAGCCGCCGC
RNAcentral lists this ribosomal RNA (514 nucleotides) under uncultured bacterium. RNAcentral's name for it is "bacterial SSU rRNA". It matches the Rfam family "Bacterial small subunit ribosomal RNA", at positions 30 to 518 of the family's 1533-position model. The record is from RNAcentral.